GACGAACGCUGGCGGCGUGCCUAAUACAUGCAAGUCGAACGCUGAAGGAGGAGCUUGCUUCUCUGGAUGAGUUGCGAACGGGUGAGUAACGCGUAGGUAACCUGCCUGGUAGCGGGGGAUAACUAUUGGAAACGAUAGCUAAUACCGCAUAAUAGUAGAUGUUGCAUGACAUUUGCUUAAAAGGUGCAAUUGCAUCACUACCAGAUGGACCUGCGUUGUAUUAGCUAGUUGGUGGGGUAACGGCUCACCAAGGCGACGAUACAUAGCCGACCUGAGAGGGUGAUCGGCCACACUGGGACUGAGACACGGCCCAGACUCCUACGGGAGGCAGCAGUAGGGAAUCUUCGGCAAUGGACGGAAGUCUGACCGAGCAACGCCGCGUGAGUGAAGAAGGUUUUCGGAUCGUAAAGCUCUGUUGUAAGAGAAGAACGAGUGUGAGAGUGGAAAGUUCACACUGUGACGGUAUCUUACCAGAAAGAGACGGCUAACUACGUG
This 495-nucleotide ribosomal RNA is filed under the name uncultured bacterium. RNAcentral describes it as "partial 16S ribosomal RNA". It matches the Rfam family "Bacterial small subunit ribosomal RNA", at positions 28 to 507 of the family's 1533-position model. The record is from RNAcentral.